This 468-nucleotide ribosomal RNA is filed under the name uncultured bacterium. Its description in RNAcentral is "partial 16S ribosomal RNA". It matches the Rfam family "Bacterial small subunit ribosomal RNA", at positions 28 to 507 of the family's 1533-position model. The record is from RNAcentral.
GACGAACGCUGGCGGCGUGCUUAACACAUGCAAGUCGAACGGAAAGGCCCUGCUUUUGUGGGGUGCUCGAGUGGCGAACGGGUGAGUAACACGUGAGUAACCUGCCCUUGACUUUGGGAUAACUUCAGGAAACUGGGGCUAAUACCGGAUAGGAGCCCCUGCUGCAUGGUGGGGGUUGGAAAGUUUCGGCGGUUGGGGAUGGACUGGCGGGUUAUCAGCUUGUUGGUGGGGUAGUGGCUGACCAAGGCUUUGACGGGUAGCCGGCCCGGGAGGGUGACCGGCGUCCAUGGGACUGCGGUAGGGCGCAGAGGGGAAUGGUGGGCAGUGGGCGGGAGUAUUGUCCAGCCGGAGGGAGUCGGUGGAGGAGACGUUGGGUGUGGGAAGACGUUUUGCUGGUUGUAAACCGCUGUAGGCUAAUACGAAGCGGUAGUGACGGUAAUGAAUGAAUAAGCACCGGCUAACUACGUG